CUGCACAUCACUCCGCAGUGGUAGCAGGCUCGCAGAGGCAGGUAACAGCACAUACAAGGGGCCAAGAAAGACAAGGCAAUAAGAGCCAUCCACCGGAGGCAAAACUUCUCGUCGCUGGUAUCGCACGAGCACGGAGAAGCAGAAGAGCUCUGGAGUGCAUUGACCAUUAUGAGGAACACAGACACCUGAAGAAAUUCGGGAUCCUGCCAACUAUGGCAAGCAACCACUGGCAGAGCGGGACUGAAACACAGCCCCCGUCCGCCAAGCCCAGGGGGAUCUCCAUGCAGCACACAGCGGCUUAUCAAGCCCAGGAGAGCCACCUGCUCUGUGUUCAUCUUGUGAGCUUAACACAAGUACAACGCUUCCUAGUAAGACGAUGUGUCCUGAUUUAUACAGACCCAGGUGGUAAGGGGUGGUGCCUCAGAAUACAAAGGUUUCUACAGAUCUCAGUAAAUACUUUCUGAAUGAGUAGAUAAGGGCCUUUCUGUAUGAUUCAAAUCCAAGGGUUAAACUCUUAUCCAAUACCCACGUGACAGUCACAUCUUAGGUUAGAAGCUACCUCAGCAUUAAACACGGUAAUACGCACUUGGCAUUUAGUUCUCAGAAACCCAGUUCACACAUCACAGUCACCUCUGUGUUAGUCAUCUGUUUACCCCAAUCCACCCUGUUUUCUGUGACCUGUGUCCAGGUUAACAAUGUAUGGAAAGUCAUUCUGAGAAAUGAGGCACACCCAGUACUUCCUAGUCAUCCUCAGCCAAUCCGACGCCCCCUUCUGAUGCUCCCAGCCUUCCUCCCGAGCCUGGACCAGCCUCUUCCCAUUGCAGAGUCAAGUGCAAAGUUUCCUGGACCA
Long non-coding RNA from Bubalus bubalis (water buffalo), 850 nucleotides. RefSeq lists it as uncharacterized. The record is from RefSeq and is a predicted model, not a curated record. NCBI's taxonomy places the organism in Eukaryota, Metazoa, Chordata, Mammalia, Artiodactyla, Bovidae. The transcript is spliced from 3 exons.